This is a long non-coding RNA of Strigops habroptila (Kakapo), 5244 nucleotides long. RefSeq lists it as uncharacterized. The record is from RefSeq and is a predicted model, not a curated record. The transcript is spliced from 4 exons. NCBI's taxonomy places the organism in Eukaryota, Metazoa, Chordata, Aves, Psittaciformes, Psittacidae.
AACAAGCACCGCCCAAGCCGCGGGGGUUGGGUCCUGGGAGCUGUGUAUGUCCGCGGUGCGGGAGCGGUUCCAGGGAAGGGCCACGGAGCUGGUGAAGGGCUUGGAUCACAAGUGUGAUGAGGAGCAGCUGGAGGAACUGGUGGUAUUAGUCUGGAGAAGAGAAGGCUCAGGGGGGACUUUAUCGUUCUCUACAACUGCCUGAAAGGAGGAUGGAGCCAGGAGUGGUCUAUCCUGAUUUGCUGUCUGGAAUCUCUUCUGCAAGGUUUGCUGGGAAGCCUUGGAAGAUGUGGUGCUUCUAUAACAUCUUUAUGCUAGAAACACAAGGAGCAUGUGACUAGAAGUGGUAUUCUUUGCUGCUUAGCUGAAGAAGAAAGGAUGUUACAGACUGUGUCUAGAUGCAGUUCUAUUCAACCUGACGGAUGAGAUACCUAUAUUCCCUGAUGUGAACAAAACCAACUUGAAUUCCAGUGAUUCUUCAGACACUUUCUUACAGGGAUCAAUGUAUGCUUUCCUUCUGUUAGCAAUGCAAACUAAAGGGAUCAGUUUUAAUAGGACAUACUUUCAAAUAUUUAUUUUCCCAUAUUUUUUUAAAGAAUCCAGCUUGGCAUGCUAGAGUGGCAACUUAUCAGAAGCAUCCAGGUCAUAAAUCACUGUUGCUAUUUCAUGUUGCAUUUCAGACUGUAAUUUUUCUUUUCUUCCUUCAAAUCUUUCAUGACUCAAAAAAGAAAAAAAAAAAAAAAAAAAGAAGGAAAAAAGAAAUUAUUGACAGAAAAAAACAACAAUCACAUGGAAGAAAAUGAGAAAGUAAUGAAAUUGUGUUUGGGUUGGGAUUGUGGGCAUAUGUAUCCAAUGUUUACUUCCAAAUUUUUCUACUACUAAGAUGUCAAUUCCUGUCAAAGUAUGGAUUGCUGCAAAUAAUUCUGGAGUAUAGAUUAGUGUUACAUUUGACUAGAGUGGAAAAAAGAGAUCAUCCUGAAUGUGCUACAUUUUCUUAAAUUUUGAGUGUUUUCUUAUUUGUCAACUAGCAUAGUUAUUGUUUAGGCAAAAUUUUCAUUAUUUUCAAUGGGAUUUCAGGCUUGGGCUGGCAAUCUGAUAAGGAAGUUACCUUUAUAUCCCUAUGGACCAUUCUUGCAUGCUGAAAUUGAUCUUUGUGUUUGCAGGCUCCUUCUGUCUUCUAUAGCACACUAGUUUCUUGAGCUUUUUAGGUUUUUUUAACUGAAGAGUCAUGGAGCUUUUUAUGAUGUGCAGCUGUAUGGGUAGUAUGGAAGGCUCUUUGAAGCCUUUUGGACUUGAUGGCUGUUGCUUUCCUGCUUGUUCUAGAUUGAGAGUCUAAAUACUGAUGAAUAUUGUUAUUUCUAGAACUGCUGUGGGUUUUCUCCUUUUAAUUUUUUUUUUUUUUUUAAGGUGGUGAGGUUUCAAAAGGCAGCAGUGCUAAUCAGGAGACCUAAUGCUAGUGAUAAUGCACUUCCCCUUGACUAGAUGCUUUUGCCAGUGUCCUCUUCCCAUGGCAUGCCAGUUCAGCUCUCUGGGCUGGUCAGCAGGGCUUGAGGGGAAAAGGGCUUUCUUGUGUGUAUUCAACCCAGGAACAAGAGCAGCCAUGAGGGAUAUCUGAGGCCAUACCACUAAGCAGGGAGUGAGGAGGGGACUAUCUGCCUCUUGUGAGAGCAAGGAGGCAGUAGGAGUUGACAUCUCUUUCAUGAAAUUUUACCCGAAAUGAGCCCUGAUGCUCUGUUCUCUGUAACACCUCUACAGCUUCUUUCCCUUGACAUUCUUGUUUGGCGUCUAUUGACCAUGACAAGUCCACAUUUAAUAAAAAUACUAGUAUUUGCUGGAUUUGAGUACUUUGUGUCUACAUACUUUCUUAGAGAGAGAUGUCUGAAUAUGGGUGAGUUUCUAAGAAAGCCAUUUGUAGGAUUUAUUUAUGCAUUUUAAGUUUUAUCCUUAAUUCUACUCUGCAUGGAUUUGGAGAAAAGAAGAGCAGUAUUGUAAGUGUAUUUUUGUCCUGAGUUCUAAUAAUGCUUUUGUGGCUCUGUGGUUUUAUUUCCUUAGACCACUCCAUGUACUAUUGCAACUAAGGUAGAGGGUUUUUUAAUAUAAACAUAAUUCCUGAUACACUUACUUUCUUCUGGAUUUUUUUUAAUAUCUCUUAAUUGUUUUAGAAUAGAUUUAUAGCAAUAUUGCUGCUAAGAGAAACAUAGUAGACUCUUAAGCUAGUAAGAAUAAUCAGUUCUAAACAAAAUGCAGAAAACUUGACUAUCAGAAACCAGUUUGAAAUUAUUAAUGUUUUUUCAUAAAUAGUUUUCUUACGUCUCUUCAAGAAUUAGCUUGAAAUAGUAUUUGUUGGAUUUUUGCUUGGGUUGUUUGUUUUGGUGUUUUUUUCCCCAAAUAAUUUUCUUACAUCUCUUCAAGAACGAAGGAUACUUAUGGAAAGCAAGUAGUUAAAAUUAACAUCAACUUGACACUGAAAAUGAAACAUACAUCACAAAGACCAAACAUUUUCCUGUCAAAAGGACAACUGCAAUUUGGGAAUCAGUAUAAUACAAAUUUAAAUGUCUGCUUUUCUUAGUUUCUGUUUAUCCUUUUAAUAUUUCAUUUUUAGAAUUUGCAUUUUGUUUAAAAAUAAUGUAUUUUCAGAAGUCUCUUGAAAAGUUUUAACAGGAGGAAUUUGUUUUAGGAAUGUCUUAACACAUAUUCGGCAUACAUAUUAUGUAGAAUGCGUAUAGUAUUUGGAUUUUUUUUUUUCUGUUCAAGCUUUGCACAUCUCAUAACAUUCACAGUUAAUGUAUGAUUGCCUGAUUGUUAUAAAUUUUUUUUGCCACUGUAAACUUCUAAGAAGUCUAAGCUCUUUUAUGCAUUUCAUGUAAUUAUAUGUAAAGUAUUUUAAAAUGAGAUUUUUGUGAUUGUCAGAACUCUAAAGUGGCGAUGUGAGGAAAGAAGUAAAGCUAUCCAAGGUAACUUACAUAACAAAAUCUAGAUGUAGGUCUCACAUGUAUGUAUAAGUGCUUAUGCAGUGUUUAAUAUGAAAGGACUUUCUAUGUAGGUUUAUUCUUUAGAUAGAUUUCUUUAGAAAUUGAUAUACUUAAAAGUAUGUGACUUGAUUUGAUAACAGUCUUAAGUUACACAUGGUGCUGAACAAUUCUACUUCUCAAAGGCUGAUACUGCUCGUGAGUUUUUAAUUAUUCUGUUAAGAUAAAAUUUUAUGUAGUAUUGUCAAGAAGCAUUGUCUUUGAAUAGAAGUAAUUGCUUAAGUUUGGAGGUACUAAAAACUAUUUAAACAAAUCCCUUGUUUUGUUUUAAAUAGUUGUAAUAACCAAUAUAAUCCUUUGAAUUCUGUUGAUAAUCCAGACAAAGAAGGGAAACCAAAGACUGAAUGAUGCCUAUGUAUAGCAGGCAUUUGGCUGCUGAUUGCCAAGUGCACAGUUCACCGUUCGGUCACCUCUGUCUGUCAGUUUAGUCCCUUUAAUGCAGUUCUCUGCAAUCUCCCUGUUCUCUAAAGCUUAUCUGGGGGCUUCAGACAUUGCCUAGCUCAUUAUUCCCCAAGGAAGGUUAAGGCCUUUAUUGUCUGACCAGAACUGCUCGCUAAUUAGAGCCCUUGUUUUGGCACUGAAUGUGUCAGGCCUGCAAGACUUCCUACUGGAAUCAGUGGCAUUCAUGUUUGCUUUCAUAAAUGCACAAUAGACAGGAAUCUUGGCAAAGACCUGCAUACUUAGCUUGUGCAAAGAAACAGGUUUGAGUCUUUUUUUGAAAUAAUGAUAAGUAGAAAGAGAGCUAUUGGAAUAUGUGCUGACUAUUCCACUGAAAAAAAGAGUGCUCUGCCUAAGGAGAGCCCAGUGUGCAGUUCAAACCCAUCAUGUAUUUGUACCCAUGUAGAAAUUUGGAGUCAGUAGUCUUUGUCAGUAGUCUUUUGUGAUGGUAAUUAUUCUCAGAAUUUAGGAAUUUUUGCAGUAAAUGCAAGGUCUGUAAGCAAUAUGAUUAAUUCAGGAUAUGUAUGUCAUGUUGCAAUUAAUAAAUAAUGAUUAUUGGCAAAUAUUUCAAUUAUUUCUUUUGUCCUCCUUCCCUUAAAAGAUAGAUAUGUUUCCACGUAUGAGGUAAGAUUUUUCAAAUGAGCUUCUUUUGGCACAUGGUUUUCAUGGAAAUACAGACUUGGGUCUAUAUUCUGGUGCGGCUCUUUGGAGAUCACCCAAAUAUACUCUGAAUAUUCUUUCCCAGUAAAGGAAUUAAAAGCAUUGGACCUUUCUCAUCCUUUUUUUUUUCUUUUUUCAUUUUUUUUCUCCCUUUAUUCUUUUUUUUCCCUCCCUGUGCUCAUAUGCAAGUGCUUUCGUGGAGUCCAAACCUGGUACGGUGGGUUGGCCAUGGCUGGCUGCCAGACACCUACUCAGCUGCUCUCUCACACCCCCUCUUCAACAGGACUGGGGGAUUGAAAUUCAAUUAUUUACAAAUUAUUGUCAUUGGCAAAACAGACUCUACUUGGAGAAAUAAAUAAUUUAUUGCCGAUUUAAAAUACAGUAGGAUGGUGACAUAACUUAAAAAUACCUUCUGUCCCACUCCCAGCCUUCUUCCCAGGUUCAACUUCAUUCCUUUAUUCCUGAUUUGUCCACCCUCUUGUCCACUCUGAGUGGCAUAGGGAGGAUGGGGAAAUGGGAGUUGUGGACGGGUCCGUAAGAGUUCCUCUCUGCCACUCUUCCCUGCUCACAAUGUUCCUCUGCUCCAGCGUGGGGUCCCUCCCAGAUGUUACAGUCCUUUGUGAACUGCUCCGACUUGGGUCAUUCUUGGAGUAGAGUCCUUCAGGAACAGACUGCUUCAGCAUGGGUCUCCCACAGGCCACAGUUCCUUCCAGAAAACCUUCUCUGGUGUGGGCCCCUCUCCACAGGCUGCAGCACUGAUGUGGGCCCUCUAAGGGCUGCAGCUUCCUUCAGAGCAUCUCCACCUGCUGCAGCAUAGUGUCCUCCAUGCGCUGAAGUGUGGAAUCUUUCCUCUGCUCCAACAUGGUCCUCUAUGAGUGGCAGGGGCACAUCUGCUUCAGUGCUUGGAGUACCUCCUUCUGCUCCUUCUUCGUUGACUUUGGUGGCUGCAGGAUCAUUGUUUCCAUGUUUUUUUCUCUUUCACAGUCACUGGGCAGCAUUUUUUAUCCUUUCUUAAUUACAUUUUUCACAGAGGCACCACCAGCUUCACUGGUGCAGCCCCUGGUCUCAUCCACCCGUGCAGUUCUUCCACUGCCAAAACCUUGCCUCAUAAAAUCAAAAC